UAUAAUUGCACGGGGUUUAGCAUAAAUAAAAGUAGUAUAAAAUAAUAGGGAGAAGUAACUUUUUGCAGAUCUUUCUCUUUUUUUCUUUUCUUUCCUUUGUGAUGUGCUAAUAGAAGUAGGGACAUGAGAAGAGACUUAUUUUAAAGACUGAAUUUAAACCUCAAGUUAAGAAGAAACUAAGACCUUGCAGUGGAAGUUCUGGUUGUACCUUGACUCCACUGCAGGUUAAAAUCCAGGGAUGACUUCGCCGGUUGGUUUGGUUAUUAAACAGUGGGGAAAUGCAGCCUGGUGGUUGGUUCCGAGCAUCCUGUAGAUGGUGAAUUAGGAUUUUGCAAUAUGACUUUCAUUGCAGAAUACAAGACUGUCUUGGAAAACUCAUGCUCUCUAUGCACAUUUCAAAUCAGUGCUCAAACUGCUGGUGUUUCUGGCUUGGUUCCUGAGAAGAUAACGGUCCAGUGCAUUUGUAGGAGAGAAGUGCCGUGAUUUGAAGUUCAGUCCAGCUCUGAAAUGCAACAGAAUGUUGCCCACUCUCGUAAGUCUGCCGUCACACUGCCAAAACACAGCCCAGUAAGGAUCCCACGGCUGCACCCAAGGAAGCAGAUAUCGUUUGGACAUUUUGAAAACCAAGAAAAGGUGGUUUCUGUGAAGCUGAGGUAAGUCCAUAUUGUAAAAUACAGUUAGGGGGGGACUAGGCACUUCAUCUUAUGGGAAAAAAGAUGAGAGUACACAGCAGACAGGUGUCGUUACAUUCUAGUGAUGGUCUGUCAUGGGGACCUGCCCUAAUGAUAAAGGAAUGAGAAGUUGUAAGUGGGAAGAAGCAGCAGAUUUCUGAAUUGGAUUUGCUCCUGAGUUUAAUAUUUGUGACAGUUACCCCAGGGGCUUGAGCCCCAGCUGAAGAUUUGCAGUAUCCGGGUACGCAGAGGACUGAUGUGAACUCUACAGGGGGAAACAUCUUAAUUUGUGUCAUUUUUUCUAUAGUGAGGAAAUUUAUUGUGGGAGUUGCUUUCUUUUACCAGGCCUCUGAGUUUUCGGAAAGUUGUAGGAAGUUUGAGGGGGCUUUUUGCUAAGUUGGGUUUAGUUAUGUGCAGUCACUGGGUUCAAAAGUAAUGCAGGGAUGCAGGUACAGAGAGGCACAGCAGUGAUGAAUGCUCUGUUUCCAUUGGAAACCAAGUCUAAAAAUACUUCUGUAGCCACAGCUCAACUGUGCUACCAAUUGAAGUUGCUGGCUGAGCCUGUGAACUAACACUUGAGCCUAAACCAGUGAAAUAAAAGAAA
This 1275-nucleotide long non-coding RNA is filed under the name Calidris pugnax (ruff). RNAcentral's name for it is "lncRNA (ENSCPUG00000003030.1)". The record is from RNAcentral. Lineage: Eukaryota; Metazoa; Chordata; Aves; Charadriiformes; Scolopacidae.